This 396-nucleotide ribosomal RNA is filed under the name uncultured bacterium. Its description in RNAcentral is "partial 16S ribosomal RNA". It matches the Rfam family "Bacterial small subunit ribosomal RNA", at positions 523 to 918 of the family's 1533-position model. The record is from RNAcentral.
AUACGUAGGGAGCGAGCGUUGUCCGGAAUUACUGGGUGUAAAGGGAGCGUAGGCGGGAGUGCAAGUCAGAUGUGAAAUACAUGGGCUCAACCCAUGGGCUGCAUUUGAAACUGCAUUUCUUGAGUGAAGUAGAGGUAAGCGGAAUUCCUGGUGUAGCGGUGAAAUGCGUAGAUAUCAGGAGGAACACCGGUGGCGAAGGCGGCUUACUGGGCUUUUACUGACGCUGAGGCUCGAAAGCGUGGGGAGCAAACAGGAUUAGAUACCCUGGUAGUCCACGCUGCAAACGAUGAUUACUAGGUGUGGGGGGACUGACCCCUUCCGUGCCGCAGUUAACACAAUAAGUAAUCCACCUGGGGAGUACGGCCGCAAGGUUGAAACUCAAAUGAAUCGGCGGGG